Molecule: long non-coding RNA, 512 nt
Organism: Patella vulgata (common limpet)
Lineage: Eukaryota; Metazoa; Mollusca; Gastropoda; Patellidae
Exons: 2
Source: RefSeq, a predicted model, not a curated record
UGCUUCAUAUCCAUUUCCUCUCAACUGACAAGAUCUGCCAACGACCGAAUUCAUAGACAAGUAACUAUCACAAAACUAACGCUUGUCAACUUGCAGCCGGGUCCAAACACUCCAAUGUUUGGCGUUCUGCAUUUGUCUACUUCCGAGCAAAACCACUCAAAACCUAAACUUGUCUUGCAAACUAAGAGCUGAAAAAAAAGUUGAUGUAAAAUAGGAUACAAGUUAAACAGGGCUAGACGGAACAGAAUAAAACGGAUGGAAUGGAUUGGCAAUUGGAGAGCAGUUAAAGGAUGAUUUAUAGAAUUCAGUGGAGAUAUAUAAAUAAAUUGACAAUUUAAUAUCGUCCAAUUAAAUCUCCAAUAAUGUCAAUAGAUUAUUGAAUAAAUAGCUGCGAGGUAUGGUGUGAGGUCAUGAAAAUUGGGAAUUAAGUUGGAAUCCAAAUUUGAAUUUAAUCUAAUAAAUUUUAUUGACCAUAUUUUCUACUGUAAAUAAAAUAGACGUUCUACAUUCUU